GAUGAACGCUGGCGGCGUGCUUAACACAUGCAAGUCGAACGAGAAGUGGAGACGGAAACCUUCGGGCGGAAGACUUUACUUCGAUUGGCGGACGGGUGAGUAACGCGUGGGUAACCUGCCUCAUACAGGGGGAUAACAGUUGGAAACGACUGUUAAUACCGCAUAAGACCACAGCACCGCAUGGUGCGGGGGUAAAAACUCCGGUGGUAUGAGAUGGACCCGCGUUCGAUUAGCCAGUUGGCGGGGUAACGGCCCACCAAAGCGACGAUCGAUAGCCGAUCUGAGAGGAUGACCGGCCACAGUGGGACUGAGACACGGCCCAAACUCCUACGGGAGGCAGCAGUGGGGAAUAUUGCACAAUGGGGGAAACCCUGAUGCAGCGACGCCGCGUGAGUGAAGAAGUAUUUCGGUAUGUAAAGCUCUAUCAGCAGGGAAGAAAAUGACAGUACCUGAGUAAGAAGCCCCGGCUAACUACGUG
This 478-nucleotide ribosomal RNA is filed under the name uncultured bacterium. Its description in RNAcentral is "partial 16S ribosomal RNA". It matches the Rfam family "Bacterial small subunit ribosomal RNA", at positions 28 to 507 of the family's 1533-position model. The record is from RNAcentral.